RNAcentral lists this ribosomal RNA (1254 nucleotides) under metagenome. RNAcentral's name for it is "bacterial SSU rRNA". It matches the Rfam family "Eukaryotic small subunit ribosomal RNA", at positions 689 to 1799 of the family's 1831-position model. The record is from RNAcentral.
UCCUUGAUUGGUGGUAGAAGCGCUUCCGCAUUCAACACAUGCAUAUGCCCCUGUCCGUGGAGGUUACUGUGAACAAAACAGCGUGUCCAAAGCAACCACAUGUCUGGCUGAAUGAUCUAGCAUGGAAUAACAAGGCAUCGACCACUGGAGUCAGCCUUUUUGUUGGUUUUACAUGACCCAGUUGGGCAAUGCAGGGCUUGUGCUUCAUUGAGGUUCUUAGUCAGCUCUACCGAACUGUCUUCCCUCAGUUGGACCUUGUUCCCUAUCGGGAUCAAUGGAAGCCAUCGGGGUGGUAUGUAUUCCGACGUGAGCGGUGAAAUGCUUAGACCGUGGAAGACAAACGACAGCGAAGGCAUUCCGCCAGAAUGUCUUCAUUAAUCAAGAACGAGAGUGUGGGGAUCGAAGAUGAUCAGAUACCAUCGUAGUCCAUUACCGUAAACUAUGCCAACUCGGCAUUGGGAGUCUGUUCACUUUGAAGACUCUCCCAGCAUCAUCCCCCAAUAACGAGAAAUCCAAGUCUAUGGGUUCAGGGGGGAGUACAGUCGCAAGGCUGAAACUUAAAGGAAUUGACGGAAUGACACCACAAGGCGUGGAGUAUGCGGCUUAAUUUGACUCAACACGGGGAAGCUUACCAGGUCAGACACAGUAAGGAUUGACAGAUUGAGAGCUCUUUCUUGAUCCUAUGGAUGGUGGUGCAUGGCCGUUUCUGGUUCGUGGAGUGAUCUGUCUGCUUAAUUGCGAUAACGAACGAGAUCUCUACCUCUAAAUAGGCGCCGGUCUCGCAUGUAAGUAGGGAUGUGUUGGGGGCCUUCGUGUCCCCUCAUGUCCUGAGAGUGCCGGGAUCGCUUCUUAGACGGACUGUGCAUGUCUUUAAUGCACGGAAGAGGGAGUCAAUAGCAGGUCUGUGAUGCUCCUAGAUGUUCUGGGCUGCACGCGCACUACACUGGCACAGUAAACGAGUUGCACCUGCUUCGGCAGUCCUGCUUAGAAGUGAGCGUGGGAAAUCUUAGAAAACUGUGCCGUGCUGGGGAUAGAUGAUUGCGAUUAUUUGUCUUGAACGAGGAAUGCCUAGUAGAGGUACUUCAUCAGAGUACCUUGAUUGUGUCCCUGCCAUUUGUACACACCGCCCGUCGUUGCUACCGAUUGGCUGUAAAAUAGAGGCCUUAAGAGUCGCUUCCGCAAAGCUUUGCUUUUGAGGUUGUGACAAAUCUGGCCAAUAUUUCAUUGCUAGAGGAAGCAAAAGUCGUAACAAGG